This 550-nucleotide unclassified non-coding RNA is filed under the name Hevea brasiliensis (rubber tree). Lineage: Eukaryota; Viridiplantae; Streptophyta; Magnoliopsida; Malpighiales; Euphorbiaceae. The record is from RNAcentral.
CCGGGUCUCCAUACGAAGAAAUAAAUUCCUCUGAAACCCCAUUGUGUAAAUAUCACAGCGCACCGCCAGAUCUCACUCUCCACACCAAUGGCUUCUCCACCGACACUUCCGAUUUCCGGCCCUCAGUCGGCUGCCGGAGCUCCAUCUCAGCCACCCAUCGCCACUCCUGCCUUCCGCGCUUUUCUCUCUCGUUUAACCUCCUCCGUCCGCCAAGGCUUCUCCCAUCGCCGCCCAUGGUCGGAGCUUGUCGAUCGGAGUUCUAUGGCUCGUCCCGAUAACCUUUCCGAAGCCUAUUCCCGGAUCCGCAAGAACUUCUCAUACUUUCGUGUCAAUUACAUCACACUCUUUGCCCUUGUUCUGGGUUUUUCUCUUCUUUCUCACCCGUUUUCUCUCUUGACUCUUCUUUCACUUCUCGCUGCUUGGAGCUUUCUCUACAUUUUCCGUCCUUCCGAUCAGCCGCUGGUUAUUCGCGGCCGUACUUUUUCCGAUUUCGAAACUUUGGUCGGGUUGGGGGUUCUGACUGUCAUUGUGGUGUUCCUCACUAGUGUUG